Molecule: long non-coding RNA, 838 nt
Organism: Arachis ipaensis
Lineage: Eukaryota; Viridiplantae; Streptophyta; Magnoliopsida; Fabales; Fabaceae
Source: RefSeq, a predicted model, not a curated record
UGUUGUGGAAGACUCGAAGGUCAAUGGAAGGUCAAUAGUCAAUAGUCAACAGUCAAUACUGAAUAUUAACAUAUAAUAGUAAGUGAAAAUGAAAGAAGAUGAGAGGAGAAUGAAGGAACCAGUAGGAGAAAUCGGGGGAGAGAUAGAAUUGAGAAAGCGAUUGAAAUAAGGAUGAUGAUGAUGGUGUUGUUGAAGACGUAGUUGUUGUUGAUGAUGAUCUUUUUGCCUCUGUCUCUGCCUGGCUUUGUGAUUCUGGAACCAGUAGAAGACGUUCUUACCUUCAAUGGGACCAUAAACCUUGAGCCUCUCCAUAAUCUCCUUAAUUUCUUUAGGGUUUGGAGUUCUCACUCCCUGGUUAUAGAUCUCCUCCAACGUGCUUAUCUGCUCUUUCGUUGGGUUCCAUCGCGAACAACUUGACGACGAUGAUGACGACCCUGCCGCAACACACUCCUCCAUUAGUAGUAUCUAAAUCUAAGCAUUAUUAUUAUGAUGAUGAUAAAGGCAUGCGCAGUCUUGGUGGGUUAAUGAAGAGAGAGAAGAGCGCAGACAUUGACAAAUUGACCAAAGGUCGAUAAGCAGUGUCGCCGCCUCUAAUUAUCAGUGUCAUCUCACCUCGUGAACAAGACACAUAAAAAUGGGUGGCAGAUGGCACAUUCCCCCUUGCCCUGUUUAUUUCUUCCACGCAAUUCGAGAACACAACGCAACAUUAAGGAUUUACUUUGCUACGUCAUAUUUCAUAUUUCCCCCUCUUAUUCUGCAUUCUUCAUUGUUUGGAACGGAAAUUUGUUGAAAUGUGUCAAUCACUACAUGAAUGCUACAAACAUGCAGGAUUUGGUUC